UACGAAGGGGGCUAGCGUUGCUCGGAAUCACUGGGCGUAAAGGGUGCGUAGGCGGGUUUUUAAGUCAGAGGUGAAAUCCUGGAGCUCAACUCCAGAACUGCCUUUGAUACUGAAAGUCUUGAGUAUGGGAGAGGUGAGUGGAACUGCGAGUGUAGAGGUGAAAUUCGUAGAUAUCAAGAGGAACACCUGCGGCAAAGGCGGGUUGCUGGGCCGACACUGACGCUGAGGCGCGAAAGCCAGGGGAGCGAACGGG
Molecule: ribosomal RNA, 253 nt
Filed under: uncultured bacterium
Lineage: Bacteria
Description: partial 16S ribosomal RNA
Rfam family: Bacterial small subunit ribosomal RNA
Source: RNAcentral